ACACCCAUAUCAUGUUGAAACACCAGUUCUCAUCUGAUUACUGAAGUUAAGCAAGGUAGAACCUGGUCAGUACCUAGAUAGGUGACUGCUCAGGAAUACCAGGUACAGUA
Molecule: non-coding RNA, 110 nt
Organism: Acanthosepion pharaonis
Lineage: Eukaryota; Metazoa; Mollusca; Cephalopoda; Sepiida; Sepiidae
Source: the annotation of a GenBank genome assembly